AGAGAUGCCUUUCUUCCCUUCCGGGGCCGUACCACACAGGUGCUGCAUGGCGUGUCGUCAGCUCGUGUCGUGAGAUGUUGGGUUAAGUCCCGCAACGAGCGCAACCCUCGACUUUAGUUACCAUCAUUAAAUUGGGUACUUUAAAGUAACCGCCGGUGAUAAGCCGGAGGAAGGUGGGGAUGACGUCAAGUCCUCAUGGCCCUUACGCGCUGGGCUACACACGUGCUACAAUGGCAAGUACAGUGGGCAGCAAUCCCGCGAGGGUGAGCUAAUCUCCAAAACUUGUCUCAGUUCGGAUUGUUCUCUGCAACUCGAGAGCAUGAAGGCGGAAUCGCUAGUAAUCGCGGAUCAGAACGCCGCGGUGAAUACGUUCUCGGGGUUU
Molecule: ribosomal RNA, 382 nt
Filed under: uncultured Sphingomonas sp.
Lineage: Bacteria; Pseudomonadati; Pseudomonadota; Alphaproteobacteria; Sphingomonadales; Sphingomonadaceae
Description: bacterial SSU rRNA
Rfam family: Bacterial small subunit ribosomal RNA
Source: RNAcentral